Molecule: long non-coding RNA, 249 nt
Filed under: Capsicum annuum
Lineage: Eukaryota; Viridiplantae; Streptophyta; Magnoliopsida; Solanales; Solanaceae
Description: long non-coding RNA (CANN_LNC013837)
Source: RNAcentral
GAAGUUAUAAUAAGAUGGACAGGGAAGUAAAUCCAUCAGUGUCGUCUGUACAAGACAAACCAAAUAGUACUCGCCAGACCAUGCCGUUUUUCAUUUACAAUAGUCAUUCAUUAGACACUGACUUGGCCCUUCAGCUCUGAGUUAGCAUGAACAAAUGCUGUUAAUUUCGCCGAAGUACAUUGGUUGCUGGAUGAUCUUCUAUCAUGUACAACUUAUAGUACAUUGAAUUAAAAAUAUCCUCUGAGCCAG